This 460-nucleotide ribosomal RNA is filed under the name uncultured bacterium. Its description in RNAcentral is "partial 16S ribosomal RNA". It matches the Rfam family "Bacterial small subunit ribosomal RNA", at positions 338 to 795 of the family's 1533-position model. The record is from RNAcentral.
CCUACGGGAGGCAGCAGUGAGGAAUAUUGGUCAAUGGACGCAAGCCUGAACCAGCCAAGUCGCGUGCAGGAAGACGGCCCUAUGGGUUGUAAACUGCUUUUGUAAGGGGGUAAAGUCAGAUACGUGUAUCUGUCUGAAUGUAUCGUACGAAUAAGGAUCGGCUAACUCCGUGCCAGCAGCCGCGGUAAUAAGGAGGAUUCGAGCGUUAUCCGGAUUUAUUGGGUUUAAAGGGAGCGUAGGUGGUAGGUUAAGUUAGUGGUGAAAUCCCGAGGCUCAACCUCGGAAUUGCAUCUGAUACUGGUCGGCUAGAGAGUAGGUGAGGUAGGCGGAAUGCGUGGUGUAGCGGUGAAAUGCUUAGAUAUCAUGAAGAACACCGAUUGCGAAGGCAGCUUACCAAGCUACUUCUGACGUUGAGGCACGAAAGUGUGGGGAGCAAACAGGAUUAGAUACCCUGGUAGUC